UAGGGAAUCUUCCACAAUGGACGCAAGUCUGAUGGAGCAACGCCGCGUGAGUGAAGAAGGUUUUCGGACCGUAAAGCUCUGUUGUUGGUGAAGAAGGAUAGAGGUAGUAACUGGCCUUUAUUUGACGGUAAUCAACCAGAAAGUCACGGCUAACUACGUGCCAGCAGCCGCGGUAAUACGUAGGUGGCAAGCGUUGUCCGGAUUUAUUGGGCGUAAAGCGAGCGCAGGCGGAAGAAUAAGUCUGAUGUGAAAGCCCUCGGCUUAACCGAGGAAUUGCAUCGGAAACUGUUUUCUUGAGUGCAGAAGAGGAGAGUAGAACUCCAUGUGUAGCGGUGGAAUGCGUAGAUAUAUGGAAGAAUACCAGUGGCGAAGGCGGCUCUCUGGUCUGCAACUGACGCUGAGGCUCGAAAGCAUGGGUAGCGAACAGGAUUAGAUACCCUGGUAGUCCAUGCCGUAAACGAUGAGUGCUAAGUGUUGGGAGGCCUCCGCCUCUCAGUGCUGCAGCUAACGCAUUAAGCACUCCGCCUGGGGAGUACGACCGCAAGGUU
This 548-nucleotide ribosomal RNA is filed under the name uncultured bacterium. RNAcentral's name for it is "partial 16S ribosomal RNA". It matches the Rfam family "Bacterial small subunit ribosomal RNA", at positions 355 to 895 of the family's 1533-position model. The record is from RNAcentral.